CAAAUACAGCGAUGAAGAUGAUGUAAUUAUCAACUUUCUUGUGUGGUUAAAUAUAACCACACAAGAAAGUUGAUAAUUACAUCAUCUUCAUAUAUU
Molecule: microRNA precursor, 96 nt
Filed under: Strigamia maritima
Lineage: Eukaryota; Metazoa; Arthropoda; Chilopoda; Geophilomorpha; Linotaeniidae
Description: microRNA mir-598
Source: RNAcentral